Molecule: ribosomal RNA, 341 nt
Filed under: uncultured bacterium
Lineage: Bacteria
Description: bacterial SSU rRNA
Rfam family: Bacterial small subunit ribosomal RNA
Source: RNAcentral
GAUGAACGCUAGCGACAGGCCUAACACAUGCAAGUCGAGGGGCAGCACAUGAGUAGCAAUACGAUGGUGGCGACCGGCGCACGGGUGAGUAACACGUAUGCAACCUACUUGUAAGAGGGGAAUAACCCGGAGAAAUCCGGACUAAUACCGCAUAAUACUUUAUUACCGCAUGGUAUAAAAGUUAAACAAUUAUGGCUUACAGAUGGGCAUGCGUAUGAUUAGUUUGUUGGUGAGGUAACGGCUCACCAAGACAUCGAUCAUUAGGGUUCUGAGAGGAAGGUCCCCACACUGGUACUGAGACACGGACCAGACUCCUACGGGAGGCAGCAGUGAGGAAUAUU